UUGCUGGUUGGCUGAAGAGUGGCGGACGGGUGAGUAAUGUCUGGGAAGCUGCCUGAUGGAGGGGGACAACUACUGGAAACGGUAGCUAAUACCGCAUAAUGUCGCAAGACCAAAGAGGGGGACCUUCGGGCCUCUUGCCAUCGGAUGUGCCCAGACGGGAUUAGCUUGUUGGUGGGGUAACGGCUCACCAAGGCGACGAUCCCUAGCUGUUCUGAGAGUGGGACCAGCCACACUGGAACUGAGACACGGUCCAGACUCCUACGUUUUUCAGCAGUGGGGGAGAUACGGGAGGCAUCUUUCCCCUCUGGUGUUAAACUCGA
Molecule: small RNA, 320 nt
Filed under: uncultured bacterium
Lineage: Bacteria
Description: bacterial SSU rRNA
Rfam family: Bacterial small subunit ribosomal RNA
Source: RNAcentral